AAUCAACGCUGGCGGCGUGCCUAACACAUGCAAGUCGAACGAGAAAGUGGUAGCAAUACCAUGAGUAAAGUGGCGCACGGGUGAGUAACACGUGACUAACCUACCCUGGAGUGGGGGAUAACUGAGGGAAACCUUAGCUAAUACCGCAUAACACCUACGGGUCAAAGGAGUAAUUCGCUUUGGGAGGGGGUCGCGGCCGAUUAGCUAGUUGGCGGGGUAAUGGCCCACCAAGGCAGUGAUCGGUAUCCGGCCUGAGAGGGCGCACGGACACAUUGGAACUGAAACACGGUCCAAACUCCUACGGGAGGCAGCAGUGGGGAAUUUUGCGCAAUGGGGGAAACCCUGACGCAGCAACGCCGCGUGGAGGAUGAAGUCCUUCGGGACGUAAACUCCUUUCGAUCGGGACGAUAAUGACGGUACCGGAAGAAGAAGCCCCGGCUAACUUCGUGCCAGCAGCCGCGGUAAUACGAGGGGGGCGAGCGUUGUUCGGAAUUAUUGGGCGUAAAGGGUGCGUAGGCGGUUUGGUAAGUCUUGUGUGAAAUCUUCAGGCUCAACUUGAAGACUGCACAGGAAACUGCCGGGCUUGAGUAUGGGAGAGGUGAGUGGAAUUCCUGGUGUAGCGGUGAAAUGCGUAGAUAUCAGGAGGAACACCUGUGGCGAAAGCGGCUCACUGGACCAUAACUGACGCUGAUGCACGAAAGCUAGGGGAGCAAACAGGAUUAGAUACCCUGGUAGUCCUAGCCCUAAACGAUGACUGCUUGGUGUGGCGGGUACCCAAUCCCGCCGUGCCGUAGCUAACGCGUUAAGCAGUCCGCCUGGGGAGUACGGUCGCAAGGCUG
This 839-nucleotide ribosomal RNA is filed under the name uncultured bacterium. Its description in RNAcentral is "bacterial SSU rRNA". It matches the Rfam family "Bacterial small subunit ribosomal RNA", at positions 28 to 896 of the family's 1533-position model. The record is from RNAcentral.